AAACUUGAGCUAAUACCGGAUGAUGACGUAAGUCCAGAGAUUUAUCGCCGAAGGAUGAGCCCGCGUAGGAUUAGGUAGUUGGUGGGGUAAUGGCCUACCAAGCCGACGAUCCUUAGCUGGUCUGAGAGGAUGAUCAGCCACACUGGGACUGAGACACGGCCCAGACUCCUACGGGAGGCAGCAGUGGGGAAUAUUGGACAAUGGGCGAAAGCCUGAUCCAGCAAUGCCGCGUGAGUGAUGAAGGCCUUAGGGUUGUAAAGCUCUUUUACCAGGGAUGAUAAUGACAGUACCUGGAGAAUAAGCUCCGGCUAACUCC
This 316-nucleotide ribosomal RNA is filed under the name uncultured Alphaproteobacteria bacterium. Its description in RNAcentral is "bacterial SSU rRNA". It matches the Rfam family "Bacterial small subunit ribosomal RNA", at positions 154 to 504 of the family's 1533-position model. Lineage: Bacteria; Pseudomonadati; Pseudomonadota; Alphaproteobacteria. The record is from RNAcentral.